Long non-coding RNA from Rhipicephalus microplus (southern cattle tick), 197 nucleotides. NCBI's taxonomy places the organism in Eukaryota, Metazoa, Arthropoda, Arachnida, Ixodida, Ixodidae. The record is from RefSeq and is a predicted model, not a curated record.
UUGUUGAAGCGAUGGCUGAGAGACAGGAAGGGCAAGUGAUUGCAGAGUUCAUGUUGCCUUCCUCAUUGGGUACAGGCACUGGGCUUACUGUAGGAAUGGUUGAAGAUGUUCGUGAUGCAGACAUCGAUGUUGAAGCUACCUGCUUGUUGCCUAGCUCUGGGGUCAGUGAUUGCAAUGCAUCUAUUCGUAAGUGUUUG